Ostrea edulis (European flat oyster) is the source of this 552-nucleotide long non-coding RNA. RefSeq lists it as uncharacterized. The record is from RefSeq and is a predicted model, not a curated record. NCBI's taxonomy places the organism in Eukaryota, Metazoa, Mollusca, Bivalvia, Ostreida, Ostreidae. The transcript is spliced from 2 exons.
AAACUAAUAUAUCGUUGACCAGGAUACCUCACGCAUACGACACUGAAUACUGAACUCAACCGAAUAUGAAACCAAGCACAAUCAUUAUUCUUGGAGUCCUAGCACUGGUGUGUCUAUUGGACUCAUGGGCUGAAGGUAGACAUUACAUCGGAGAAUGCUACAAGAGAAGGCGUAGCUGUUAUUCUGCACCAUGUAAAAGAAAAUGUCAAUUGCUUUUUGGAGAGGAUGGUCAUUGCAAGCGAACGAGGCGAUGUCCGAGAAAGAGGCGAUACAAAUGUAGAUGUGACAUUAAACGCUCUCGCUCCGAUGAUUGACGUAAAAAUGAACAUGAGUGUUGCUAUCUUCCAGUUUGCUCCUCUGUGCUAAUUAUGAAAUGUUAACUGUAGUGCAUUUCUAUUUAUGAAUUGACCUGAUAAAAAUGGCGUAUAACCGUACAAGAUUUCUUUUUAAACUUUAUGAUUGUGUAGAAAAUUGUAGAAUUUUGACCACACAUCACAUCAUUCUAUUCACAAGUCAAUAAAAAGUAUGACUGAGAGGCGAAAAUAACGAAAA